CCUACGGGAGGCAGCAGUGGGGAAUAUUGGGCACUGGAGGCAACUCUGACCCAGCAACGCCGCGUGAAUGAUGAAGGUCUUCGGAUUGUAAAGUUCUGUGAUGGGGGAUGAACACAAUGACGGUACCCCAAUAGCAAGCCACGGCUAACUACGUGCCAGCAGCCGCGGUAAUACGUAGGUGGCAAGCGUUAUCCGGAAUGACUGGGCGUAAAGGGUGCGUAGGUGGUUUAGUAAGUUGGCGGUGUAAUUCCGGGGCUCAACCUCGGCGCUACCGCCAAAACUAUUAGACUAGAGUGCAGGGGGGGUAAGUGGAAUUCCUAGUGUAGCGGUGGAAUGCGUAGAUAUUAGGAGGAACAUCAGGUGCGAAGGCGACUUACUGGACUGCAACUGACACUGAGGCUCGAAAGUGUGGGUAUCAAACAGGAUUAGAUACCCCUGUAGUC
Molecule: ribosomal RNA, 443 nt
Filed under: uncultured bacterium
Lineage: Bacteria
Description: partial 16S ribosomal RNA
Rfam family: Bacterial small subunit ribosomal RNA
Source: RNAcentral